Molecule: ribosomal RNA, 108 nt
Filed under: Callithrix jacchus (white-tufted-ear marmoset)
Lineage: Eukaryota; Metazoa; Chordata; Mammalia; Primates; Cebidae
Source: RNAcentral
GUCUGUGGCCACACCACCCUGAAUGUGCCUGAUCUCCUCUGAUCUCAGAAGCUAAGCAGGGUCAGGCCUGGUUAGUACUUGGAUGGGAGAAAUAUUUAACUAAAUCUU